GCGAGUGAGCGGCAACAGCUCAAUUUGAAAUCUGGCCCCUAGGGUCCGAGUUGUAAUUUGUAGAGGAUGCUUUUGGUGAGGUGCCGCCCGAGUUCCCUGGAACGGGACGCCACAGAGGGUGAGAGCCCCGUCUGGCUGGCCACCGAGCCUCUGUAAAGCUCCUUCGACGAGUCGAGUAGUUUGGGAAUGCUGCUCAAAAUGGGAGGUAUAUGUCUUCUAAAGCUAAAUAUUGGCCAGAGACCGAUAGCGCACAAGUAGAGUGAUCGAAAGAUGAAAAGCACCUUGAAAAGAGGGUUAAACAGUACGUGAAAUUGUUGAAAGGGAAGCGCUUGUGACCAGACUUGGGCGCGGCGAAUCAUCCGGGGUUCUCUCCGGUGCACUUCGCCGUGUUCAGGCCAGCAUCAGUUCGGCGCGGGGGAAAAAGGCUUCGGGAACGUGGCUGCUCCGGCAGUGUUAUAGCCCGUUGCAUAAUACCCUGCGCUGGACUGAGGACCGCGCAUCUGCAAGGAUGCUGGCGUAAUGGUCACCAGCGACCCGUCUUGAAAAAA
RNAcentral lists this ribosomal RNA (548 nucleotides) under soil fungal sp. DM2-331. RNAcentral describes it as "eukaryotic LSU rRNA". It matches the Rfam family "Eukaryotic large subunit ribosomal RNA", at positions 89 to 662 of the family's 3401-position model. The record is from RNAcentral. Lineage: Eukaryota; Fungi.